AGUGAACGCUGGCGGUAGGCCUAACACAUGCAAGUCGAACGGCAGCACAGUAAGAGCUUGCUCUUACGGGUGGCGAGUGGCGGACGGGUGAGGAAUACAUCGGAAUCUACUUUUUCGUGGGGGAUAACGUAGGGAAACUUACGCUAAUACCGCAUACGACCUACGGGUGAAAGCAGGGGAUCUUCGGACCUUGCGCGAUUGAAUGAGCCGAUGUCGGAUUAGCUAGUUGGCGGGGUAAAGGCCCACCAAGGCGACGAUCCGUAGCUGGUCUGAGAGGAUGACCAGCCACACUGGAACUGAGACACGGUCCAGACCCCUACGGGAGGCAGCAGUGGGGAAUAUUGGACAAUGGGCGCAAGCCUGAUCCAGCCAUACCGCGUGGGUGAAGAAGGCCUUCGGGUUGUAAAGCCCUUUUGUUGGGAAAGAAAAGCAGCAGGUUAAUACCCCGCUGUUCUGACGGUACCCAAAGAAUAAGCACCGGCUAACUUCGUG
This 492-nucleotide ribosomal RNA is filed under the name uncultured bacterium. RNAcentral describes it as "partial 16S ribosomal RNA". It matches the Rfam family "Bacterial small subunit ribosomal RNA", at positions 29 to 507 of the family's 1533-position model. The record is from RNAcentral.